UACGUAGGGGGCAAGCGUUAUCCGGAUUUACUGGGUGUAAAGGGAGCGUAGACGGCACUGCAAGUCUGGAGUGAAAGCCCGAGGCCCAGCCACGGGACUGCUCUGGAAACUGCGGGGCUGGAGUGCAGGAGGGGUAAGCGGAAUUCCUAGUGUAGCGGUGAAAUGCGUAGAUAUUAGGAGGAACACCAGUGGCGAAGGCGGCUUGCUGGGCUCUAACUGACGCUGAGGCUCGAAAGCGUGGGGAGCAAACAGG
Molecule: ribosomal RNA, 253 nt
Filed under: uncultured bacterium
Lineage: Bacteria
Description: partial 16S ribosomal RNA
Rfam family: Bacterial small subunit ribosomal RNA
Source: RNAcentral